CCGUUUUUCAACUUCAUUUGUCUGGAAGGCCGCCAUUUUGUCCUUGUACAAUUUCUCCAUAGAAGCAAUUUACAGCUUUUUGGAGAGUCAAACUGGAAGAAAGUAAGUUCCAGAUGGAGUGAGGCGAAAUUUGCUAAGGAGCACUUCUAUGAAGCAUCAAGUGGUUCAGGGUACUUGGCUUGGCAUUUAAAGAAUUUGCAGAGAAGUACAGAUUAGAUCCUGGUAAUGGUAAGAUUUAACAGACUCAACAGGGAAGGACAUCUCUGCCUAUCACCUGCCCCCAACAUUACAAAGCCACAAUAAGAGAACAAAGAUCAGCCUCCUUCAGGCAACUAGCUAUUUAGUGAGAUUCCUUAAGGUGCGUGCCUGAAUCUAUACUUAAAAGGUAGGAACCAGCAUUCCAGUAUUUUUGGAGGAAGUUGAAUCUGCACAGCCCUUCCUGUGAAACAACUAUAUGCGCUGAACUUUACUGUUUGCAACUGUAACACAACUGAUCCACAUAUCCUGCGAUUUUUCAUCUGCUCAAUGUUGUUGAAACAAGCACUGCUGUGCCGUGUUGCAAAGUCAUAGGUAUUAUAUAUGUUGCAAAUAUACAUAGGUAUGUCAGCUUCUGACAUUUAGCAACUUGGACAUAGUACUUAUAUUCACUGACAUGUACAGGGCUUGAAGUAUUACAGACCAUCUGAUUAGCAGCUUUCAUAUUAUUUCUGAUGACAGAAAUGUGCAUUCAUCAUUUAUUUUAAAAGUGAACCUUCCAUGAUGUAAAUUGGCUUGUAAAUUAAU
Molecule: long non-coding RNA, 783 nt
Organism: Sinocyclocheilus anshuiensis
Lineage: Eukaryota; Metazoa; Chordata; Actinopteri; Cypriniformes; Cyprinidae
Exons: 5
Source: RefSeq, a predicted model, not a curated record